AUAGCUGGUUCUCCUCGAAAUAGCUUUAGGGCUAGCCUCGAGCUGGAGUCUAACGGAGGUAAAGCACUGAACUGACGCGGGGCCCAAAAAGGUUACCAACUCAUAUCAAACUAAGAAUGCCGUCAAGAUACCCUCGGGAGUCAGUCUGCGUGAGAUAAGUCGCGUGGACAAAAGGGAAAGAGCCCAGACCGACAGCUAAGGUCCCAAAGUACGUGUUAAGUGGAAAAGGAUGUGGGAUUUCAUAGACAACUAGGAUGUUGGCUUAGAAGCAGCCAUACAUUUAAAGAGUGCGUAAUAGCUCACUAGUCGAGAAAACCUGCGCCGAAAAUGUAACGGGGCUAAAACACGACACCGAAGCUACGGAUUUCCUACAAGGUAGGAAGUGGUAGAGGAGCAUCCUGCAAGGACGAAGCCAAAGUGAGAGCGAUGGUGGACGAAACAGGAGAGAGAAUGCCGGAAUGAGUAGCGAGAUACAUGUGAGAAACAUGUAGGCCGAAUAUCUAAGGAUUCCUGGGUAAAGCUAAUCUUCCCAGGGUUAGUCGGGGCCUAAGGCGAGGACGAAAGUCGUAGUCGAUGGAUAACAGGUUGAUAUUCCUGUACUACACAUAAUCAGAACUGUGGGGACGCAGGAGGAUAGGGAAACCGGGGAAUGGAAAGACCCGGUCAAGCGUAAAGCUGUGAGAGAUAGGCAAAUCCGUCUCUUGUAAGUGAAACGUGAUGAGGACUGAAAAAAAGUAAGGAAGUUUCCGAAUCCACACUGCCGAGAAAAGCCGCUAUUGCGUUAUGUGUACCCGUACCGUAAACCGACACAGGUAGAUGAGGAGAAAAUCCACAGGCCGACGGGAGAAGUGUUGUUAAGGAACUCGGCAAAAUGACCCCGUAACUUCGGGAUAAGGGGAGCCUCGCAAGAGGCCGCAGAAAAGAGGCACAAGCAACUGUUUAGCAAAAACAUAGGUCUAUGCGAAACCGUAAGGUGAAGUAUAUGGGCUGACGCCUGCCCGGUGCUGGAAGGUUAAAAGGAGAGGUCAGCGUAAGCGAAGCUUUGAAUUCAAGCCCCAGUAAACGGCGGCCGUAACUAUAACGGUCCUAAGGUAGCGAAAUUCCUUGUCAGGUAAGUUCUGACCCGCACGAAAGGCGUAAUGAUUUGUGCACUGUCUCGACAACACGCCCGGUGAAAUUGAAGAACCAGUGAAGAUACUGGUUACCCGCAACAGGACGGAAAGACCCCAUGGAGCUUUACUGCAGCCUGAUACUGGGAUUCGAUGAUAUAUGUACAGGAUAGGUGGGAGGCUAAGAAGCGAGAACGCUAGUUUUCGUGGAGCCGCCGGUGGGAUACCACUCUUAUGUCAUUGAAUUUCUAACCUGCAUCCGUAAUCCGGGUGAGGGACAAUGUCAGGCGGGCAGUUUGACUGGGGCGGUCGCCUCCUAAAAGGUAACGGAGGCGCUCGAAGGUCACCUCAGAAUGAUUGGAAACCAUUCAAAGAGUGUAAAGGCAAAAGGUGGCUUGACUGCGAGAGCGACGGCUCGAGCAGGUACGAAAGUA
This 1543-nucleotide ribosomal RNA is filed under the name human gut metagenome. RNAcentral's name for it is "bacterial LSU rRNA". It matches the Rfam family "Bacterial large subunit ribosomal RNA", at positions 845 to 2407 of the family's 2925-position model. The record is from RNAcentral.